UCAACAACACCUGGGUGGCUGGGAACAAUGGCUCAUGCCUGUAAUCCCUGCCCUUUGGGAGGCUGAGGCCAGAGGAUUGCUUGAGGCCAGGAGUUCAAGACCAGCCUGGACAACACAGAGGAAGCAUGCAAGCAAACAAGGUGGGAACUGGAGUGCACGAGUGCUGGAACCAGCUGACCAAUUCAGUGCCAGCAGGAUCAAACUUCACUCACUCUGACCUGCCUCAUUGUACCCCUUGCGGAAGGGAGCACACAGAAUGUUCCUUGAUUAACUGCUGGUCCAAGGAAGAUGAGUGACUCAUGUAGCAGACCUGGUCCCAACCUGCAGCCUGAGGCAAGUCUAACCAAUCCACAGGUGCAGAGUGGGAAAUAAAUGCUUAUUGUUGUAUAAC
This is a long non-coding RNA of Pongo pygmaeus (Bornean orangutan), 391 nucleotides long. RefSeq lists it as uncharacterized. The record is from RefSeq and is a predicted model, not a curated record. NCBI's taxonomy places the organism in Eukaryota, Metazoa, Chordata, Mammalia, Primates, Hominidae. The transcript is spliced from 3 exons.